Molecule: ribosomal RNA, 856 nt
Filed under: uncultured Actinomycetes bacterium
Lineage: Bacteria; Bacillati; Actinomycetota; Actinomycetes
Description: bacterial SSU rRNA
Rfam family: Bacterial small subunit ribosomal RNA
Source: RNAcentral
GACGAACGCUGGCGGCGUGCUUAACACAUACAAGUCGAACGGUGACGCACCUUCGGGUGCUGAUCAGUGGCGAACGGGUGAGUAACACGUGGGCAACCUGCCCCUGACUCUGGGAUAACUCCUCGAAAGAGGUGCUAAUACCGGAUACCAUCCCCCCCCGGCAUCGUGGGGGGUCGAAAGUUCUUCGGUCAGGGAUGGGCCCGCGGCCUAUCAGCUAGUUGGUGGGGUAAUGGCCCACCAAGGCGACGACGGGUAGCCGGCCUGAGAGGGCGACCGGCCACACUGGGACUGAGACACGGCCCAGACUCCUACGGGAGGCAGCAGUGGGGAAUAUUGCGCAAUGGGCGAAAGCCUGACGCAGCAACGCCGCGUGAGGGAUGACGGCCUUCGGGUUGUAAACCUCUUUCAGCAGGGACGAAGCGAAAGUGACUGUACCUGCAGAAGAAGCGCCGGCUAACUACGUGCCAGCAGCCGCGGUAAUACGUAGGGCGCAAGCGUUGUCCGGAUUUAUUGGGCGUAAAGAGCUCGUAGGCGGUCUGUCGCGUCGGAUGUGAAAACCCGGAGCUCAACUCCGGGCCUGCAUUCGAUACGGGCAGACUUGAGUACUGCAGGGGAGACUGGAAUUCCUGGUGUAGCGGUGGAAUGCGCAGAUAUCAGGAGGAACACCGGUGGCGAAGGCGGGUCUCUGGGCAGAAACUGACGCUGAGGAGCGAAAGCGUGGGGAGCGAACAGGAUUAGAUACCCUGGUAGUCCACGCCGUAAACGGUGGGCACUAGGUGUGGGGACCAUUCCACGGUCUCUGCGCCGCAGCUAACGCAUUAAGUGCCCCGCCUGGGGAGUACGGCCGCAAGGCUAA